This 513-nucleotide long non-coding RNA is filed under the name Portunus trituberculatus (swimming crab). RNAcentral's name for it is "uncharacterized LOC123503926". Lineage: Eukaryota; Metazoa; Arthropoda; Malacostraca; Decapoda; Portunidae. The record is from RNAcentral.
UAAUAUCCCCCUUCACCAAGAUCACCAGCACAGGACAAGAUCACGAAGAGAAAGAGAGGAUUAAGAUGUCACACUAACCAUUAACUCGAUACCUGAAGCGAGAAUAACCAUUAUGUCCCAUUAAUAAUAGCUGUAGUAAUGGGGAGUUAUCAUUGACAGUUGUGUACCGUUCAGACAGCACAGCCUUCACGCACAUACAGUGGUGGUGGUGCUGGCGGUGGUGUUUUGGUGUUUACUGCUCAGUCUAUCUACACACCCAGACGCAUUCACGCACAGCCAUAGAUACUCAAUACACACUCAAACGCACACAGAACCAAGCUAAAUACACACACACACACACAAUGAAGUGAAGUGUUACCAUAUUCCCAGGCAGUUUUUAGCAGCACAAGCGGCAAGACAAGAGUGAACCAGCAGUGCAAGGCAAGCCACCAUGACCUGCAGCCUUCACCACACCCCUCCUUCACUUACUCAAGGCUCAGGCGUGUAGAUGGAAGCAGUAAAAGGAAGGAAAAA